GACGAACGCUGGCGGCGUGCUUAACACAUGCAAGUCGAACGGAAAGGCCCUGCUUUUGUGGGGUGCUCGAGUGGCGAACGGGUGAGUAACACGUGAGUAACCUGCCCUUGACUUUGGGAUAACUUCAGGAAACUGGGGCUAAUACCGGAUAGGAGCUCCUGCUGCAUGGUGGGGGUUGGAAAGUUUCGGCGGUUGGGGAUGGACUCGCGGCUUAUCAGCUUGUUGGUGGGGUAGUGGCUUACCAAGGCUUUGACGGGUAGCCGGCCUGAGAGGGUGACCGGCAACAAUGGGACUGAGAUACGGCCCAGACUCCUACGGGAGGCAGCAGUGGGGAAUAUUGCACAAUGGGCGGAAGCCGGAUGCAGCAACGCCGCGUGCGGGAUGAAGGCCUUCGGGUUGUAAACCGCUUUCGCCUGUGACGAAGCGUGAGUGACGGUAAUGGGUAAAGAAGCACCGGCUAACUACGUG
Molecule: ribosomal RNA, 468 nt
Filed under: uncultured bacterium
Lineage: Bacteria
Description: partial 16S ribosomal RNA
Rfam family: Bacterial small subunit ribosomal RNA
Source: RNAcentral